GAAAUGCGAUAAGUAAUGUGAAUUGCAGAAUUCAGUGAAUCAUCGAAUCUUUGAACGCACCUUGCGCUCCUUGGUAUUCCUUGGAGCAUGCCUGUUUGAGUAUCAUGAAAUCUUCAAAGUAAAUCUUUUGUUAACUCAAUUGGUUUCUACUUUGGUAUUGGAGGUCUUUGCAGCUUCACACCUGCUCCUCUUUGUUCAUUAGCUGGAUCUCAGUGUUAUGCUUGGUUCCACUCGGCGUGAUAAGUUAUCUAUCGCUGAGGACACUGUAAAAGGUGGCCAAGGUAAAUGCAGAUGAACCGCUUCUAAUAGUCCAUGACUUGGACAAUACUUUUAUGAUCUGAUCUCAAAUCAGGUAGGACUACGCGCUGAACUUAAGC
This 377-nucleotide unclassified non-coding RNA is filed under the name plant metagenome. Its description in RNAcentral is "partial contains 5.8S ribosomal RNA, internal transcribed spacer 2, and large subunit ribosomal RNA". The stretch from base 1 to 105 matches the Rfam family "5.8S ribosomal RNA", at positions 50 to 154 of the family's 154-position model. The record is from RNAcentral.